GGGACUUGCCUUUCAGGCAUCCUCUCCUAAAACUUUUCCAGGCUGAUCUUCGGAUCAGCCUUUUUUUUAUCCGCGG
The sequence is a small RNA, 76 nucleotides long. It matches the Rfam family "Makes More Granules Regulator RNA (mmgR)". From Rfam's summary of the family: SuhB later renamed mmgR (makes more granules regulator) was a putative non-coding RNA found multiple times in the Agrobacterium tumefaciens genome and related alpha-proteobacteria.